CCGUCGCCGCACUCGGUCGUCUGCGUCGUGAACGAGCACGUCGAAACGACGUUGACGUGAGGCUUCAAGAUGGCGGAAGCCUUGACGAGUCAGGAGGAACUGGCGGUGGAGGAGUUCCUGAGUGAGGUGCGUAGCAGGGAACAUCCCCACAGUGCUGCUCUGGUCUCUCAGCCGACCGCCGUCAAGUUCCUCAUGGCGCGCAAGUUUGAUGUCUCCCGAGCAAUAGACCUCUUCCAGGCAUACAAGAACACGAGGAUUAAGGAGGGCAUCUUCAACAUUAACCCAGAAGAGGAACCUCUCCGUUCUGAACUGCUCAGCGGAAAGUUCACCGUCCUGGUGAGGCCUGUGUGUGUGUGUGUGUGUGUGUGUGUGUGUGUGUGUGUGUGUGUCAGGGUUUUCUUUAGGAAAAUGUAGCGCCCAGACAACGUGACCAGGGAAUAAUUUGAUUUACUGGCCACUUUGAUACAUUUACAGGAUCCAUAUUCUUUGGGAGUGAUGGAGGUAGAUAUGUAUAGGGGGAAGGAGACAGGGAUACUGGAGUGAUGGAGGU
Molecule: long non-coding RNA, 550 nt
Organism: Oncorhynchus nerka (sockeye salmon)
Lineage: Eukaryota; Metazoa; Chordata; Actinopteri; Salmoniformes; Salmonidae
Exons: 3
Source: RefSeq, a predicted model, not a curated record